Molecule: ribosomal RNA, 253 nt
Filed under: uncultured bacterium
Lineage: Bacteria
Description: partial 16S ribosomal RNA
Rfam family: Bacterial small subunit ribosomal RNA
Source: RNAcentral
UACGUAGGGCGCAAGCGUUGUCCGGAAUUACUGGGCGUAAAGCGCGCGUAGGCGGCUUUGUAAGUUAGAGGUGAAAGCCCGGGGCUCAACCCCGGAACUGCCUUUAAGACUGCAUCGCUUGAAUCCGGGAGAGGUGAGUGGAAUUCCGAGUGUAGAGGUGAAAUUCGUAGAUAUUCGGAAGAACACCAGUGGCGAAGGCGGCUCACUGGACCGGUAUUGACGCUGAGGUGCGAAAGCGUGGGGAGCAAACAGG